CAGGCGUGCACCACCACGACCACGCCCAGCUAAUUUUUGUGUUUUUCGCUAUGUUGCCCAGGCUGGUCUUGAACUCCUGGGCUCAAGCCAUCCUCUCGCCUUGGCCUCCCAAAGUACUGGGACUACAGGCGUGAGCCACUGCGCCCAGCCUCCUUAUCCCUUUUGAAGCGAUUGGAUAUUCUCGGGUCCCUGGGACCACAGAUGCCUGAAGUUCUGGGCGUUAAAACUGGGCCCAGAAAGGGGAAAACAACUCAGCUACCCACAUAUAUUCUGCAGGUGCAAAGACGGAGGACCACUCCAACUCAGACCAGAAAGCCCUCGGCAUGAUGGGGCUGGUGCGGCGGGACACAGCCCUGCUCCUCCGAGACUUCCGCCUGGGUGCCUCCUCAUGGCUCAACUCCUUCCUGGAGUUAAGUGGGCGCAAGUCCCAGAAGAUGUCGGAGCCCAUAGCAGAGCCGAUGCGCCGCAGUGUGUCUGAAGCAGCACUGGCCCAGCCCCAGGGCCCACUGGGCACGGAUUCCCUCGAGAACCUGACCCUGAGGGACUUGAGCCUGAGGGGAAACUCUGAGACGUCGUCGGACACCCCCGAGAUGUCGCUGUCAGCUGAGACACUUAGCCCCUCCACACCCUCCGAUGUCAACUUCUUAUUACCGCCUGAGGAUGCAGGGGAAGAGGCCGAGGCCAAAAAUGAGCUGAGCCCCAUGGACAGAGGCCUGGGCGUCCGUGCCGCCUUCCCCGAGGGUUUCCACCCCCGACGCUCCAGCCAGGGUGCCACACAGAUGCCCCUCUACUCCUCACCCAUAGUCAAGAAC
Molecule: small RNA, 812 nt
Filed under: Pan troglodytes (chimpanzee)
Lineage: Eukaryota; Metazoa; Chordata; Mammalia; Primates; Hominidae
Description: retained intron
Source: RNAcentral